CUACAGAGGGUGCGAGCGUUAAUCGGAAUUACAGGGCGUAAAGCGCGCGUAGGCGGUUCGGCAAGUCGGGUGUGAAAUCCCCGGGCUCAACCUGGGAAUUGCACCCGAAACUGCCGGGCUAGAGUGUGGUAGAGGGAAGCGGAAUUCCGCAUGUAGCGGUGAAAUGCGUAGAUAUGCGGAGGAACACCAGUGGCGAAGGCGGCUUCCUGGACCAACACUGACGCUGAGGUGCGAAAGCGUGGGGAGCAAACAGGAUUAGAAACCCUAGUAGUCC
RNAcentral lists this ribosomal RNA (274 nucleotides) under uncultured bacterium. Its description in RNAcentral is "partial 16S ribosomal RNA". It matches the Rfam family "Bacterial small subunit ribosomal RNA", at positions 523 to 796 of the family's 1533-position model. The record is from RNAcentral.